ACACAUGUAUCAAGUUUCCGGUUAAUACAAUUCUAGCAUGAAUAAUAAACAUUUAUCAUGAUAUAAGGAAAUAUAAAAUAACAACUUUAUUAUUGCCUCUAGGGCAUAUUUCCUUCAGGGGAGUCGCCCGUUCUUUUGUGAAAACCCAGCUUGACAAUUUCUCUCUCACAAAAUCCCCUUUUUUAUGACAAGUCCCGUCAAUAUUUUCUCUCUCACAAAAAGCCCUUGUUUUAUUCGUAAAAACCCAUGAUGUUUUCUCUCUCAUAAAAGAGCCCUGGCCCACCUGCCAGGGACCUCGGGACUCAAACCACAUACAUGCAGACUACAGAAACAGGUGUGUACCACCCCAUCCAUCGCCAUUUGUGGUUGAAUAUGCAUAGGAAAUCUCUAUAUCCUUUGUAGGGAAUAAUAGUUUUAAUCAAAAUGAAAAAUAUAGCCAAGGGAAUUGAGCCGGCGACCUCAUACGAACUUGCACCUCUGCCUGCCACUACAAAGAAGAAGAUAUAAUGUAUAAAUAGGAUAAUUAAACUUUCUGUUUGCAAACUGUAGUCAUAUGUUAUAAAUAAUUAAAAAUAAUUAUAUAAAAAAUAUGUACAAGUAAUUUAAAAAGCUAUUAUAUAUUUAAAUAAAUGAUGAUAAAAGUUUGAAAAUGUUCAUGAUUAAUAAAAUACUCAUGAUUUUAUAGAAAAUAGGUUACUUUAAGAACCUGAUGUAAUAAAUUUGUGUAUUGUCUAAAAAAAUAUAAAUUAAAAAUUAAAUUAGAUAUAAAAUAUAAAUAUGUAUGAAAAAUAUAAGUGAGCAUAGUGUGCCCCUAGACUGCAGAUCUUCAAAUGAAUAUUAUUUUAAGUUAUGUACACUUUUUUCAUUAUAUGAAGAUGUUUUAUAAUGAUACGCGAUUUUUAAAAAAUAAGGACAUUUCUCUAACUUAAUUUAUUUGUAUGCAUUAUUUAUAACAUGAAAUAUCCCAACUUGGUUGUUUUUACUGUGAUUAUUAAUUUUAAAAUUUCUAAAAAAGUCUAACUUGCGGAAAAUGGGCCGCACUGACUUUAGACUAUUACUUUAUAUCAUAAUUAAUUAUAUGGCUAUAACUAAAAUUAAUAAUUGAAUAUUUAAUGAAAUUAUACUAUCAAUUUUUAAAUUUUAUUUGUUUAUUUUUAUGUAUACUGUUUUUAACAUAUGAUUACAGUUUGGAUACAAAUAGUUUGACUCUUUACACAUGAUAUCUUCUUUGUUGGAGUGGUAGGCAGAGGUGCAACCUCGCAUGAUGUCUCCUGUUCGAUACCCUCGCUUGUCUUUUUUCAUUUUGAUUAUUCACUCCAAAGAUAUAUAAAUUUCCUAUCCUCAGUUAACCACAGAUGCGAUGGCUUGGUUGGCUAUACACCCGCUCGUGCAGUCCGUGGGUCUGUGGUUCUAGUCCCCGUACAGACAAGUAUAGGUCUCCCUUAUAAUUUUUAAGGUCGCUGGUAGGUGGGCCAGGACUCUUUUGUGAGAAAAAAUGAUGAGGGGUUUUCCAAAAAAUAGGGGUUAUUUUUGUGAGAGAAAAUAUUGAGGGGUUUUAAAAAAAACAGGGGCUUUUUUGAGAAUUUUGAUCAACUUCCUUUAAUAAAAAAACAGGCCACACGCCCCGUCUCUCGUUGACAGCGGGCCCCAGGCCACACUGGUGCGCCUAGUCAGUGCCGAUUUCGUAUCUAACCGUGAUUAGCACUGUGUUUGCACAAUAGAGCCAAAAUUUUGCAACACUUCAAUGUUUGCUGCGGUUUCUAUCACUAAGGUGAUCAUUUGCGUCAAGUUCUAGCACCACCAACGUAAUUGACUCGCUAAAGAAAUUUGACAUCCGUGGACAACACAAAUUGCCAUAAAAACGUUCGCAUUUGCCAUGCCUUCCAACGAACGUUCGCUGGUUACGAUGGUUCUAUGUAAUUUAUCUCAAUAACUAUAUAUAAUUUGACGGAAUUUGUAAUUUAUACAUGUCGAUUUUGUGGAAAUAGGAAUGUCUGGAUUAAAAAAAAGGCUAGAGGAAGAAGAAAUAAGGACUACCUGCAUCUUAAUCUAAUAACCCGAAAAUUUGACUUAGGUGUGUAUAGUUGGUCCCUUAAUUAUCAUUAUUUCGUUGGCUUUUAAGGGGUCUAGUACUCCAUCCGUUUCUUUUCAAUUGGCAUAUAAAUUUUUCUCCACCAAAAUCGUAAAUUUUGAUCAAUUUUACAAAAAAAAUAUCAACAUUCAUAAUACGAAUAUUAUUAGAUGCUUCAUGAAAUUGAUUUUCAUACUAUAUAACUUUAAUAUUAUAGAUAUUGAUAUUUUUCAAGAUAAUUUUGUUCAAACUUUGUGUAGUUUGAUUUCAAAUAAAUUUAUUUUGUACGAAGGGUAAACAGAAACGGAGAGAGGAUGGUUGCACGCGAGCUCAGAGCAAAGCAGGAGGACCAAAAGCAUGUGGGUAUAAAUUUUGGCGCGAAAAAGUGGCGCGGGUAUUCUUUUCGCGCUAACGGAAACGAUUUUGGCGCGAGCCUUGCUAUGACAUGGGCGCCAAAAUUCGCAAGAAAUCCCCUUCUAACAGAGAGCGGAGCGAGACCAUCGAUCCCCAAUCCAGGAGGCGAGGGAGGAAGAGAUGGAGCCGUCGCAGAGAAGCGAGGGCGCCAGCAUCAAGAAGCCCAGGACCCCGCCGGCGCCGCCCGGGGCCUACACCGGCGCCGAGCUCCUCGGGGAAAUACUCCGUCGCCUCCCCGACAUGGCGUCACUCGCCAGCGCCGCCCUCGUCUGCAAGCGCUGGGGCCGCAUCGCUUCCGACCCCGCCGUCUUCCGCCGCUUCAGCUCCCUCCGCAGGCCCCCGCUCGUCGGCGUCAUCCUCACCGACCUUGGCCGCGAGCGCUUCCCCCUCCACAACCCUGCUCUCCGCUUCAUUGCGGCACACUCGCGUCACCCCGAGCAGGACCUCGCCGCAGCAUUCGGCGAUUUCUACUUCCAACGCCACCCCGAGAUUAAAGCUGCCGACGAGUGGCGCCUCCGUGGCUGCGACGGUGGCCUCCUCCUCCUCUCCUGCGGCCGCUAUGCGUCGAAGCUCGCCGUCUACGACCCUCUCGAGUGUACUGCCAUCUUCUUCCAGCCACCCGAGCGCUGGCACACCGGCCGGUACGCCAUCGUCGCCGACGAGGCCGACGCCUCCUUCCAGGUCAUCGGCAUAGAUCUCUGGGUCGAAGAAACCUUUGCCGUCUUCUCCUCCCGCACCGGCAAAUGGGUCGUGCUUGACUCAUCGUUUCCAUACUGGGGAUUCGCGUGGCCUCGCAGCGACGGUAUGGCCGCUGGGCGGUUCGCGUACUGGCGGUCGAACACCAAGAAGAACUUGUUAAGACCAUGGGAUCGACUAGGCUAGGAUUUCGGAGUAGAUUGAACUAUCUAUGAUCUGUUUGUGUGUAUACCUUAGCGUUCCGGCCAUCGCUUCAGCGACGGUCGGUGUAGAGGUCGAUGGUGAUGGCCGAGAGUGGUGGCGUCGGUGGGCUUCCCAUCGCUUCAGCGCCUCCCUCUAGAUCGGAUAGGGUUAGGAGUGGGGAACAGUGGUGGCGACGAACCUCGUACCUCGUGCCUCUGAUCCCCACCUCCUCUUUAUAGCACUGCGCGACAGGGGCUCACCAGCCUUGCUUGGGUUGGACGCCCCCGAUCAGGGCGUGGGUCAAGGACCCAAUGAGCCGUUGGGCCCAUUGGUGGAGAGAUCAACCUAACAUUCUCCCCCUUGAUCUCAUCAUUAUACUUUUAACUUUAUACUUCGAAAUAACUCUUUUUAACGUACUCGUUCCAUCACAGAUUUGCAUGUAGAGCAUGUCUCAUCGUCACGGUUCAUUCCCGAUAGAAUCAACACCUACAACACACUCCUCUGUUUUGAAACAGAUUCUUUAACCUUGGACCCUUUUAUUGUCCGGAAAUCUUAGACUAUACCAUAAAAUCCAUGUCGACUGUGUGUUCUCCGAACACACUGGGCGGCAAGCCUUUAAUAAGCAGAUCUGCAAAUACUUGUCUGUUGCUUUCAUGCUCCAAGCAUUUCAACAUAAUUCCGGACUUUCUCCUUAACAACGUAUAACUCUGUGUCAAUGUGUUUGGCACCACACUUGACUCGUUGUCAUAGGAGCGAAUUACUUAACGGUUAUUGUUGUCGUCAACCAUUAUCAACUCCGGGUACAUGUUUCUUUAACCAUUUUGCCUGUCCCUCGGCCUCAUAUCAUGUUGUACAUUAUUUUUACAUCAUAUUAAUGAUAAUUGAUUCAUUCUUUAGAGUUUUUCUACACAAAAACUCCAAGUGUGAAAGUCAGCGACAAUUGUGGAUUUCGCUGUAUAUUUCACAAGUUCUAUUUCUGUAUUCACAACCUUUCGAGAACACUUGCUCCUUUUAGCAUGAGGCCAAUAUUUUUGACUCCAUUCCAGUGAUCUAUAUCUGGACUGGACAUUACCAAAACAACCCGGUUAUGUGAACUGUGUCACGGUAAUGUUAUACUUUUGCAUUCAUUAAGCUUCCAACAGCUGAAGCAUAUGGUACCAUAUUCAUUUGGUCUAUUUCGUAUUUACUUUUGGAACACUAAAGUUCCCAAAAUCAUUACCCUUUACUAUAAGAACAGGUGUAGGUUUUCUCGCAUGCAUACUUUAGAAACUUUCCUUAGCAUGCCCAUGCGACACUCCUAAUACCCCUUUUUUUCUUUUCUCGGUGAAUCUCGAUCCUUAUAACGAGAGACAUUCUUUUGAACUUUGAGGACAAGAACUUCGUUUCCUCCUGCAGUAGAUUGACAUGACCACUAGCAAGUAGGACGUCAUCCACAUGCACAGGAUUAUGAAAUGAAUUUCCCAUUCUAUAACUUUGCUUGGAUACAAUUGUCCUCUCAUUUUCUUUAACCCUAAAUAACAUUUGAUUGCUUUAGUCCAUAAAAGACUUCUUCAGGCAGUAUCCCCUGUGUUCUUUACUUUCAUCUGAUGUAACUCAGAUCAUGAUGUCGAUCAUGAUGUGCCACUAACACUCAUUGUAAUCUAUUCAUUCUCUUUGCACAAAAUCUUUCGAUUUAAGUCGUGCUUUAUACCUUCACAUAUUUCCUUUGGAGUCACACUGACCUUGUAGACCCUUUACAGCCUAUUGUUUUGGCUUCAUUGGAAAUUACUCAUGAGUCCCAAACAUCGUCGGGAUUCACCAAAUUUAUUUCAUCUCAUAUAGUGUCUUAUCAUUUAGACAAAACAGACACUACUCAAAGCUCGAUUGAGUGCUUUAAUUGAGGUAGGAUCAACCUCCGUUAACAUAGACUUUAUAGUAAUCAGAAGUAUCUGAUUUUCUCAUUCCUUGAGACCAUCUGUGUGUCAGAUACUGGCACUUCUUUUCAUAUGGGGCUGUUGUUCCUCUUUCAUUGCCAAGAGGCAAAUUAAUUGUAUAGUCUUUCAUUUUCAAGCGGCCAUAGGUUUUAAUCAUUCCUCCUUUAUAGAGCUAACAACCUGUGUUGUAUAGGUCAUACAACAUGCUCCCCCAGAUACAAUCUAUUUGAGUCUUAGGUAUCUUCAUACCAUGCUCCCCCAGAUUACUCCAUCUUCACUAAGAAUGGCGUAUCUUUAAACUUUAUUAUUUAGGUUUAUUCUGUUAAAACUUUCUUCUUUAUGGCACUUUAAGCACCGACUUAGUAUUCCUUAGUUUUCUUUUCUUGAGGGGUAUUAUUAUGAUCAUCGUACUCCCCCAGACGGUCACAUUCUUCAUUAAUGGAUAUCUCAUAUUUCUUCCCCCCCCCCUCGAAAUGUGGCAAGAACUUUUUUGCCACAAUUUCGAAAAAACCAUUCACAACUCUUGUGAAUUGAGAAAAGUUUGAGUAUCUACUUCAUUUAUUUGAUUACUUCAUAUGUAACGAAGUUAUCUGUUGACUGGUAUGGGAGUACUUUUUCCUUAUUCCAUUUCAGAAACUCAACAGAGUUCUUUAUCAUUAGUACUUUUGCAAGUCACACUUGCAUAUCAUUCUUAUCUUUAGGUUCGUCUGUAACUUUUAUUCUCUUCGGAGUUAUUGAGUGCUUAAUGAUUGUUACACAUAAGAUGUAUGGUCGAUACUAGGAAAGCACAAUAGCUACUCCAUACUUUUCUCCCAGAGUGGGACACAUUAAAAUCACAUGAGUCAUCAUGUGUUUCUCCUGUCAUACAGGAUAAGUCUGAGAAAAUUUCUGCCGCCAUACGGGUUACGAAGGGAUUUUCCCAGACUUUUCCUGCUAUGCGGGUUUUAUCAUAAUCAUAUUUUCCCGCCAUGCGGGUAAUUCUCUGUAAGGGACAUAAAUGCCAGAAUUGGCUCUUUGGACUGCAUAUUCAAUCAUCAAGUUUAUAAAUAAAUCCGAAUGCUCUUUGACACAUAUGCUUGAUCAUGCAUGUUGCUUGUUUCAUCUCAAAUCAUGUUGACUGAAAAAUCUUGUUCAUAGAGAGUACAUGAAAGACAUUCGUCAACCAAGACUCUCAAUGAUCUAUCUCUUUUCUUUUCUUGGAUAUUAAUAUCCGAGAAUUAUUUUCUUUUGAAGCCAUUCUUUAGAGAGAACAUACUCCCUCACAUUAUGACCUUUCUUGGUCAUCUUUCGGGUCACAAGUACCCAGACAUUCGUUUUCACGAAUGAAGGCAUGGAAAAAUUAUAGUCUGAGAAAAAUUAGCCAAUAAUCAACAAUAAUGAGCAUAAAAAUAACCCCAUGUUGAUCUAGUUAAAAAAUACGCACAUUAAAUUUUUAAAACUUCCUUUUAUAUUCUAAAUCACCGUUGGGCUGAAUUAGAACGAAACAUCAUCCUUAUCCUUCUACAUUAAUUCCAUAUCACCGUCGGGCAGAAAUGGAAAUAACGCAUAUAACUUAUAAAUAAUGUGAUGAUAAAAUUUCUAUUAAGCAACUUUGCUAAGAAAAUAAUCAUCAUUAUCAACUUUAUUGCAGCGGAAAACUAACAAUAUACAUUUCUCACUCUUUAUCAAAUGCUUUGAAAUUUGUCACUUUGAUACAAAACUUAUCAGAGAUUUGAACUUUUAACUAUAAGACUCAUUGAAUUAUAAUAUUGUCAUCUUCAACGUUGGUCAGAAAAUAACAAUACCAUAAUUAAACUUUAAUCAAAUAUCUUUCUACUGUCAUAGCAGAAGCUAUCUGAAUCUGAGAUUUGACCCACAGGGGUAAAACAUGGCUAAGAACAUUUUUUUCCAAUUAAAUUUUCCCGUUGGUUCCAAUUUAAUUGAAGAUAAAACUUUUACUUUGCAGCGGAAAACAUGAAUAAAAAAUUCAUGACCUUUUAUUCUUGACAGAAACUUUUCUUUGACCAAAAUAAAAAAUCAUGAACUUUAUUAUUUCCUUUAUAAAAAUUCAUGACCUUUUCUUUUUCUGAAAAGUUUAUAUUUUUAUUUUCAGAAACUUUUCUAUUUUUCUUUGCAGGAAUGUUUCUAUUCCUUUUCUAUUUUCUAAACAAAUUUGCGUUGGAUUAUUAAUUUGAAUAGAAAAACUAUAUUAAAUUUGCCCAAAUAAACGGACAAAAGACCAUUUUAGACCGGCCCAACCACCGAGCGCACGCGCCUGCCGGCCUUUCCUCUAGCCUAAACUGGCCCAAAGGGCCCAGCGCGGGGCGCUGAUCUCUGGCCUGGUCCGGCAGACCAGAAGCCCAAGCCACUUUCGGCCUACUGGCCUGUCUGCGCUAGGGUUUUAUCUGUGACCGUCGAUUAGGAUCGGACUGUCCAGCGCCGAUUUCGCUAGAAUAGAACUGGGAGGGGUUCCUCCCGAUCGAAACCUAGCGCCCCCAUUCGCAUCGUUCGACUCAACCCCUCUGCGCCUCUCUCCGUCGCCCCUCUGUGCGGCAGCGGUGGCCGAGCGGAGACCGCGAUGCCUCUGCCGCACUACGGCGGCAUCCUCUACGUCGGCACCCAAGACGGCCGACGCCCAGGCCUCGCGCGGGAGGCGCUGCUGCGAAGGCACGGCGGCCCCGGCGGCCGGUUCCGAAGGCCCGCGUGACGGGGAAAACUCUCUGGAUCGAAAAUUCUUUUUCUGUUUCUGUAAUCAUCUGUCAUCAUUUAAUCGAUCUAGGAACUGUAGGUCACGAUUUCUUUUCUUUGUACUACUCGAAAAAUCUAGAGCCUAGAUCGCUCUGACACCAUUGUUAAGACCAUGGGAUCGACUAGGCUAGGAUUUCGGAGUAGAUUGAACUAUCUAUGAUCUGUUUGUGUGUAUACCUUAGCGUUCCGGCCAUCGCUUCAGCGACGGUCGGUGUAGAGGUCGAUGGUGAUGGCCGAGAGUGGUGGCGUCGGUGGGCUUCCCAUCGCUUCAGCGCCUCCCUCUAGAUCGGAUAGGGUUAGGAGUGGGGAACAGUGGUGGCGACGAACCUCGUACCUCGUGCCUCUGGUCCCCACCUCCUCUUUAUAGCACUGCACGACAGGGGCCCACCAGCCUUGCUUGGGCUGGACGCCCCCGAUCAGGGCGUGGGUCAAGGGCCCAAUGAGCCGUUGGGCCCAUUGGUGGAGAGAUCAACCUAACAGAACUGGCAUGAGGAUGAAGAGAAGAUAUAUGUGCUUGACACGAAAACCAUGGUGUGGUCGGUUAUAACCGCGCCGUUCCCGGUUGGCGAGUCGUACUGCGUGGCGGACAUGGCGGAGCACGGCGGGCUGUGCAUCGUGUCCAGCAGGGAGCAAAGCGUGCUGCUCUGGGUCCGUGAUAUCAAUGGUGGAUGGGUGGUCAAGAAGGAGGUCUCCUUGCUGAAUCAGUUUGGGUACUUAAAGAGAAUUCGUCGUGACGAAUGGAUGAAGAGGCUGCGCAUCCUCGCAAUGAAGGCUGGCUAUGUCUACAUGGAGUUUUGGUCCAUAAGGAAGUCUGAAUCCUAUAUUCUUGUGCUCAAUCUGAACACCGUCAAGCUGCAACAAUUCUUUCGCAACAUUACGGCUAAGCGCUACAGGGGUGCUGCUUUUCCAUUCUUCUUGAGGUUUCACCACUGCUUGCCACAUAUGAUGAUAAGGAAGUUCAAGAUGCUUGAUAGCAUGGAGUAGGUAAUCUCCUAUUUGAUCCUUUUGUUAGAUUUAUCUCUCUUACUUCUACUUUGAUCGAUCUAGCUAUUAUUACCAGUGCAAAUUGCUCACCAAGCCACUCGGAUCAGUUAGAUUUACUGUCCAAGUUCAUAAAAUUCAUAGAGUUUAUAGAGUUUCAUGGAUUUGUAUUUUGUUAGUAUUAUAAACAUUUGUAUAAUGUGCCUUUUGUUACUGAUGGCUCCAGCUUACUUGGCACCAACUAGUUUCCCAGAUUAUUUUCCCUAGAACUCACAAUCUUGUAACCUUUGUUGCUUUAUUUGUGACUUGCUUCCUUAAAUGAAUCUGCCCCUGUUUUUCACUGUGAAAAAUCCGCUGUUUUCCAGAUUAUUUUUCUAGAACUCAUGAUCAUGUGUAAAAGUAUAAUGCGCCUUUUGUUACUGGGUAGUGGGGACUCCAGCUGACUUGGCACCAACUAGUUUCCCAGAUUAUUUUCCCUAGAACUCAGAAUCUUGUAACCUUUGUUGCUUUAUUGUGACUUGCUUCCUUAAAUGAAUGUGCCCCUGUUUUUCACUGUAAAAAAAAUCCCCUGUUUUCCAGAUUAUUUUCCUAGAACUCAUGAUCAUGUGUAGAAGUAGUUGAUCUGUUUCCAGAAGCUGUUGAUUCAUUAUGUCUAGUUUGCCCAGAUUAUUUGAUCAAGUGCUAGUCCAUCUUGUUUAUUGGGCAAUUAAUAUGUUGAUCAAAAGUUUAAGAAGGAACUACUCAGUUGUUUAUUUAAUGAUGAUUAUUUUUUCUCAGAUAUUGCAAACAUAUCAUGAGUCAGACUUACUAGUACAAGUGUGCUAAAUAAAAACUGAUUACUUCUUGAAAUGGUUCCACGUUACAAAUAACUGAUUUUUCUUGCUUGUUUAAUAUUUCCUGUCAUUUGAGACUUUGCUUUAUGGUGUGUAGACUGUAGUUAGCAGCUAAUGCGUCGCUGUUCAGUUGGUUUUUAGAAACACAAUAAGGCUUAGCAUCAGGUCAUAAGUUGCACCCAUGAUCUGUAUGUUCUUUAACUGAACAAAUUUACAUAAUGCUCUGAGUAUUCGAAUUCUUUGGAAUGCAUGAAUCAUGAUCAAAUUAUCAAGCAUGCUUGCUCAUUUCUGUGUACUAGUAGUAGUGACUUCAAGGUGACCAAUGACUGUUAUAGUUUGCAAAUGGUCCAUCAUAUAAUGAAAAAAGAGUUACAGUAGGGGUCUUCACUACUGUUUUUGCUAAAAAAAGACUGUUAUAGUUUGUGGUGGCAUGGAUUUUAUAGUUAAUAUAUGUAGCAAUACAUAGUAGUUUCUACAGUUUGAGGCAUGCCCUAUAAACGAAUCACCAUGUGUGCUUUGGAAGGAAACUAAUCUAGUUCUUUGAAUUUCAGGUCAGGUGCUACAUGUAACUUUGAUUAGAAGUUACUCCCUCCGAUCCAAAAUAAGUGUCGCAGUUUUGAACUAAGGUUGGUUCAACCUUAGUUCAAAACUGCGACACUUAUUAUGGAAUGGUGGGAGUACUUAAUAUGGAGCAUUGAAAUGGAGUUGCAGCAGCUGAUUGGUACAUGUUCUCCGUUUGGCGGUAUGAGUUUCAACAUUGGAAUGGAGAUGUAUCUGCUCUAUUUUGUGGAAAUAGCUUCAAUGUAAUCUGAAUUUACUCAUUUUCAGUUAUGAGACCUGUUUAAUGCUAAAUCAAUGAUACUUUAACUGAGAUGGUUAAGUUUAAUAUCAGUCAUGUGCUCGUGUUUCAUCUUAAUUAUUAGAUCAGCAUGUGACAUCGUAAUUCAGCUGGGAGUGUAGCUCUACAGUUUAUAUAUCCAGCCUAGUAUUCUUACAGAAAUGCUGCGCCACAUAAAUAUGUUUACGUGGUCAUCCCGGUCAUUGUAGGUGGUGUUGUGCAUCUUCAUCGAAUUGUUAACUUCU
RNAcentral lists this long non-coding RNA (10901 nucleotides) under Triticum aestivum (bread wheat). RNAcentral describes it as "long non-coding RNA (TAES_LNC009052)". The record is from RNAcentral. Lineage: Eukaryota; Viridiplantae; Streptophyta; Magnoliopsida; Poales; Poaceae.